This 73-nucleotide transfer RNA is filed under the name Salmo salar (Atlantic salmon). It matches the Rfam family "tRNA". From Rfam's summary of the family: Transfer RNA (tRNA) molecules are approximately 80 nucleotides in length. Their secondary structure includes four short double-helical elements and three loops (D, anti-codon, and T loops). Lineage: Eukaryota; Metazoa; Chordata; Actinopteri; Salmoniformes; Salmonidae. The record is from Rfam by way of RNAcentral.
GUUCCCGUAGCUCAGUUGGUAGAGCAUGGUGUUUGCAACGCCAGGGUUGUGGGUUCGAUUCCCACGGGGGUCC